UCCAGAGUCCAUCCUUAGGAGGUGCAAGAGU
RNAcentral lists this non-coding RNA (31 nucleotides) under Mus musculus (house mouse). The record is from RNAcentral. Lineage: Eukaryota; Metazoa; Chordata; Mammalia; Rodentia; Muridae.